GACAAGGGACGGCCUUGGGCUAGGUCUGAAUUACCUUGCGACAAAGAGGAUCUUGCACUCUUCUCGGCCUGCACCCUAAUCACUAUUGGUGAUGGUAUCACGGCCAGUUUCUGGCACGACCGUUGGCUUGACGGACAGGCGCCACGCACUCUUGCUCCAGACAUUUUCAAACUCCGCUCUCGCAAGAGGAUUUCUGUACACAAGGCUAUUACCAACUAAAGAUGGAUGUUGGGUCUGCAUCGCAUCUCCCAGCUGUCGGAGCUCCGUCAACUCGUCACCUUGUGGAACCGGGUUCAACAAGUCAAUUUAUCGCCGGAGACGGAGGAUUCCAUUGCUUGGCUCUGGAAUGACUCCAAAAUAUACUCAGCCACCACCGCCUACCAUUGCCAGUUCGCUGGUUCCUUCACCACCAUGCACUUUGAGAAGCUCUGGUCGGCCAAGGUUGAGCCCAAGUGCCUUUUCUUCAUGUGGGUAUGGUUGCGAGGUAGAAUUUUCACCAACAACAAUCUGGAGACAAGGGGGAUUCCGCAUUCUGAAAAAUGCAACCUCUGCGACCAGCAGGAUGAGACACCUCUUCACCUUAUCCUCCAAUGCCCCUUUGCCCGAGCCGUCUGGUUCCUUGUGGCUACUGAGCUGGGCACCCCAUCCCUAUUUGCUGUGGCCCAGCAAGCAUCCUCCGUCGCUGUUUGGUGGAAUGAUUUCGCCUCCAGCCUAGGCAAGAAGGCAAAAAGUGUAGCCAUCUACACCGCGUGGAACAUAUGGAAGGAGAGGAAUCGCCGGGUCUUCGAUCACAAGUUUGUGCAAGAGUCUUCUAUUCUACAACUUAUCGAUUCAUUGGCUCUUGGAUGUUGA
RNAcentral lists this ribosomal RNA (852 nucleotides) under Triticum aestivum (bread wheat). RNAcentral describes it as "partial small subunit ribosomal RNA". Lineage: Eukaryota; Viridiplantae; Streptophyta; Magnoliopsida; Poales; Poaceae. The record is from RNAcentral.